Molecule: unclassified non-coding RNA, 744 nt
Filed under: Hevea brasiliensis (rubber tree)
Lineage: Eukaryota; Viridiplantae; Streptophyta; Magnoliopsida; Malpighiales; Euphorbiaceae
Source: RNAcentral
CUGCCGAUGAGAAGUACAUUAGAGAGAUUAUAAACCUUACUUCUUAUUCUAGGGGUUAUGUUAGUGCUUGUGUGGCUACUGUAUCUAGACGCUUAAGCAAAACCCAUGAUUGGAUUGUGGCCAUCAAGGCUUUGAUGCUUCUUCAUAGGCUUCUGGUCGAUGGCCACCCUUCAUUUGAGGAGGAGAUUGUGUAUGCCACCAGGAGUGGGAUGCGUGUUUUGAAUAUGUCGGGUUUUAGAGAUGAGGCACACUCCCAUUCCUGGGAUCAUGCGGCAUUUGUCAGGUUUUAUGCAAUGUAUCUUGAUGAGAAACUUGAGGUUGCAAUUUCUGAGAGAAAAUUGAAAGCCAGUGAAAGGAAAUAUGAUGAGAGUGAUGAUGGGUUUGGACAAAGAGAAUAUAGGGACGAUUUUGAUUAUGGGAUGCCCAGAUCAAGGUCUUAUGGUGAUUUGAAUGAUGAUUCAGUUGGAAAAGAACAGAGGAGAGAGGCUACUCCAAUUAGACAAAUGAGGCCAGAGAGGAUUUUGAACAAAUUGAACCAGCUUUUGAGGAUGCUUGAUAGAGUUUUGGCUUGUAGGCCAACGGGGAUGGCUAAGAAUAGCAGGUUGAUUCUCGUGUCAAUUUACAGGGUAGUGAAGGAGAGUUUUGGUCUUUAUGCUGAUAUAUGCGUGGCAUUGGGGAUGGUGUUGGAUAGAUUUACUGAGAUGGAGUAUGCAGGUUGUGUUAAGGGAUUUGAUAUGUAUGUUA